GACGAACGCUGGCGGCGUGCUUAACACAUGCAAGUCGAGCGGUAAGGCCCUUUCGGGGGUACACGGGCGGCGAACGGGUGAGUAACACGUGGGUGACCUGCCCUCAGCUCUGGGAUAAGCCUGGGAAACCGGGUCUAAUACUGGAUAUGACUCCAUGACGCAUGUUGUGGGGUGGAAAGCCUUGUGCGGCUGAGGAUGGGCCCGCGGCCUAUCAGCUUGUUGGUGGGGUGANGGCCUACCAAGGCGACGACGGGUAGCCGGCCUGAGAGGGCGACCGGCCACACUGGGACUGAGACACGGCCCAGACUCCUACGGGAGGCAGCAGUGGGGAAUCUUGCGCAAUGGGCGAAAGCCUGACGCAGCGACGCCGCGUGAGGGAUGGCGGCCU
Molecule: ribosomal RNA, 388 nt
Filed under: uncultured bacterium
Lineage: Bacteria
Description: bacterial SSU rRNA
Rfam family: Bacterial small subunit ribosomal RNA
Source: RNAcentral